UACGAGAGGCCCAAACGUUAUUCGGAAUUACUGGGCUUAAAGAGUUCGUAGGCGGCCAGAUAAGUCCGGUGUGAAAGUCCCAGGCUCAACCUGGGAAUGCCGCCGGAAACUGUCUGGCUAGAGUCCGGAAGGGGCCAGUGGAAUUCCCGGUGUAGCGGUGAAAUGCGCAGAUAUCGGGAGGAACACCAAUGGCGAAGGCAGCUCUCUGGGACGGUACUGACGCUGAGACGCGAAAGCGUGGGGAGCGAACAGG
This 253-nucleotide ribosomal RNA is filed under the name uncultured bacterium. RNAcentral's name for it is "partial 16S ribosomal RNA". It matches the Rfam family "Bacterial small subunit ribosomal RNA", at positions 524 to 776 of the family's 1533-position model. The record is from RNAcentral.